This is a long non-coding RNA of Brassica napus (rape), 2801 nucleotides long. RefSeq lists it as uncharacterized. The record is from RefSeq and is a predicted model, not a curated record. The transcript is spliced from 2 exons. Lineage: Eukaryota; Viridiplantae; Streptophyta; Magnoliopsida; Brassicales; Brassicaceae.
CAAUUUCAUUUUUUAACUAAAAUAGUAUUUCUCUAUAUUUUCUCUUUCUAAAAUAUUAUAAAAUCAUACAGAGGAAUAAAGCUUAGCACUAUAAUAGUUUAUUUUAUUUAUUUAUCAAAAGUAUUUCAAUAUUUAGAUUACUUAUAUUUCAACUGGAGCUUUAAAGUCUGGUGGUAAAUGGUUCACGACUGUGAGUUCCGCCACGUGGAAACGAAUCUCAGCCACUGAAAUAUUCACAUGUGGUUUUGUAGCUCUCUGGGACUGAAGACCAUUCUAGUGCAACCCAUGUCCCUCGUGUAACUCUGGUCACCGUGUGGUCCGUAGUUGUCUCGGUCUCUAGUCUAGACUCACCUCGGGUGAGGGCCAGGACACCUGAUAUUAUUCACAGCGUCCCAAAUAAACAUGCCAAAUUAUAAUUUAGAACUGCGGUAUGAACCAAUUAUUUUGUGAACUAAUAAUUAGGCCAUCUAUCCAUCUAUACAUAUAAAGUUUGAUCCUGAAAAAUUCACCACUUUCUUCUCUAUAUCAUUUCUUGAAAGAACUUCUCCAUAUCAUUUUAAGGAUUUCUACAUGUCUUUUCUGAUCGUGGGCGAUUGAAGAUUACGAAAAGUUCUAGGCUUUCAUGCACCUUAUAAGAAACGCAUUGACAUCUGCUUGAAUAUGAAACUAAUGUUGCUACUGAGCUGCUUGAAAAUAAUCUAGUGGCUAUUUACCGGAGAUUCCAUUCCCACUCGAAAAUCUGUUUUCGAUCUGAUCAAAGGAUAUCUCGGGAAUCUGAUUCCAAUACGUGGCUGAGAUUAUCAUUACUGGAGUUUAUGACAGUACCAGACCACCAAGGUGAAUCUACCAGCACCACCGUUAAAAUCCGACCCCCAUCGCCGCCGGAGAAUCCAAAUGCCAUUUCUAUUCUCUUUCAAAAGCGCAGGAAGAAAAAGAGAGAUUAGUACUUUGAAUGAAUGGCUUUACAACCGUCCGAUCAGAUAACUAUAUUACAUUUUUACCCUUUAAGAAACAAAUCCCACGAUGUUGAAACUCUUAGUCAGACUUGUAUCUGUAUUGUUUCGACGGCAGAUGUUUUUUUCUUUGAACAACCGGCAAAUGUUUUUUUACUCUCUUUCCAUUGUUUACUUAAUGCUUGCUCAAUGCUUUGACAUGUCAUUUACGAAACACGACUUACCUGUCAUUAAGACACGUGUCUUUUGAUCGUGGUUCUGUGUCGUUGGAUUUGUGACCAGUGUCUCUCUUUUUUUGGCUAUAAACUCUUUUUGUUAAGUUGAGUUUAGUUUCAAUCCAAAUUUUUUGAAUACUUUGGGUUUGGGUUUCAAACUUUCAAUUCAAAGUAGCACCAGAUUCUCACAUGCAAGUGCGAUGUUUCCGCUCUUACCCUUGUUUUACAUCUUCCAAUUAAAAAAAUGCAAACCAAUUACAUUUACAUAAAAGUCUCCUUAAUGAUUUUUGGUAUGGACAACUAAAACAAAAAAGAUAUACAAUUAGUUUAUAUUACUUUCAAUUUCAAAUGAGAAUACAUAAAAUAUUUUUAAAUAUUUUUAAAAAUCUAAACAUAUUUUAAAUUGUUUAACUUUUUGCUACUAACCAAGUAAAACAAUCACUCACAUUUAUAGAUACUUGAAUUUACGUGUGGUGUUGAGACCAAUACCGGUCCCGAGGGAAAGCAUUAGAAGCUCAGGCUUCCGGCCUUGUUAAGUUAAGUAUUUAACAUGCCAUUGAUUCCCAAAAGUUUCAAGUAGUUUUUUCUGUGAUAACCAGGUUAGGUGUUUGAUUCCUCCACCGGUACUGGUUGAGACCAUAAGUUCGAAACAAAAUUUAAGAUAUAAGAACUUAUAUCAUACGUAUAACAAGGUCAAAAUUUUACUGUUAACAAAUAUUUCCUUGUUACACAAAAAAUGUCACUUUACAAUUCCAAUGCAAAUUAUACUUAAUAUCAGUUAAAAGUUAAUUGCAAACUACAUUGGUUUUAUAAAUAAUUAUAUUUACCUCAAAUACUAUUAGUCAGAAAGAUGUAAUUAAUAACAACUUACAUAUACUUCCGUUACUUUCUUAGCUAAAGUGUCAAAGUGACGGAUGCAGUAAGAAAUACUCCGCGUGAAGUACAGACAGAUCACUAGCUUAAAGGAUUUUGCAGACUCUUCAAGGAUUUCCUGCUUACGAAUGGCUGCUGACGAUUCCAACCCUUGCAGCAUAUAUGAUAAUUUCUCGAGAACCUUAUUGAUCGAUGCAAGCAUUACUUUAUGUUUUUUUUUUAACAUAGCAUUACUUUACGUUAGGAACAUAUUUUCUAGAAGAACAGGUACACACGAUGUUGAUUUUGCUACUGUUGUUAUUCCAACUAGGGCCGGCGUCCGCGCUGCGCGCGGAUUACAUGUUUAAUAAAAAUCAGGGGAGAAGUUCGAAACGGUGAUCAUUUUUUUUUAAAAAACAACUGUAAGUAUGAAUAAUAAAUAGUUUUGAGGAAUUCGAUAUUUGAAUGAGAAAAUAAUCUUUGUGUGUGACAAUUUAAUUGAUGUAGGAAGUGGUAACGUAAAUGUUUUAAAAGUUGACUGGUGGUGUUUGCUAUGAGGCUUAGGAUAGCAGUUUAUUCCUCUUUUGGAAGCGUUGAAUGAUAUCAAUUUCGUUGUUAAAGUAGAAGCGCGUUCCAGGUGUUGCUGUGAGUGAUAGUUUUUCUGAAAAAGGCAAAUAUUUGUUAGCAUUUAGUUUUUUGUAAAGUUUAUGUUUAGUUUAUUACCUUCAUGUAUCCGUGGAAUGAUACUUGUGAUGAUUACGACUUGUUUUUUCCUUGUUGA